UGGGGAAUUGUUCACAAUGAGCGCAAGCCUGAUGACGCAACGCCGCGUGGAGGAUGAAGGUCUUCGGAUUGUAAACUCCUGUUGCCCGGGACGAAAAGCUUCAGCUUAAUACGUUGAAGUCUGACGGUACCGGGUGAGGAAGCCCCGGCUAACUCUGUGCCAGCAGCCGCGGUAAUACAGAGGGGGCAAGCGUUGUUCGGAAUUACUGGGCGUAAAGGGCGCGUAGGUGGCCUGCUAAGUCGAACGUGAAAUCCCUGGGCUCAACCCAGGAACUGCGUCCGAUACUGGUUGGCUUGAAUCCGGGAGAGGGAUGUGGAAUUCCAGGUGUAGCGGUGAAAUGCGUAGAUAUCUGGAGGAACACCGGUGGCGAAGGCGACAUCCUGGACCGGUAUUGACGCUGAGGCGCGAAAGCCAGGGGAGCAAA
Molecule: ribosomal RNA, 424 nt
Filed under: uncultured bacterium
Lineage: Bacteria
Description: bacterial SSU rRNA
Rfam family: Bacterial small subunit ribosomal RNA
Source: RNAcentral